CUGGGUGUUCGAGGCGGUCGGCCUGAACCUGGCGGCCUUCGACGCCGCCGACGCCGUCCAUGUCAUGCAGCAGCGGUACGACUACGCCUCGCCCGAGC
RNAcentral lists this transfer RNA (98 nucleotides) under compost metagenome. Its description in RNAcentral is "tRNA-Arg". The record is from RNAcentral.